CCUACGUGGGGCAGCAGUGGGGAAUAUUGGACAAUGGGCGAAAGCCUGAUCCAGCCAUGCCGCGUGAGUGAAGAAGGCCUUCGGGUUGUAAAGCACUUUCAGUGGGGAAGAAAGCCUUGGGGCUAAUACCCUCGAGGAAGGACAUCACCCACAGAAGAAGCACCGGCUAACUCCGUGCCAGCAGCCGCGGUAAUACGGAGGGUGCGAGCGUUAAUCGGAAUUACUGGGCGUAAAGCGCGCGUAGGCGGUCUGAUAAGCCGGUUGUGAAAGCCCCGGGCUCAACCUGGGAACGGCAUCCGGAACGGUCAGGCUAGAGUGCAGGAGAGGAAGGUAGAAUUCCCGGUGUAGCGGUGAAAUGCGUAGAGAUCGGGAGGAAUACCAGUGGCGAAGGCGGCCUUCUGGACUGACACUGACGCUGAGGUGCGAAAGCGUGGGUAGCAAACAGGAUUAGAUACCCGAGUAGUC
This 465-nucleotide ribosomal RNA is filed under the name Vreelandella stevensii. Its description in RNAcentral is "partial 16S ribosomal RNA". It matches the Rfam family "Bacterial small subunit ribosomal RNA", at positions 338 to 795 of the family's 1533-position model. The record is from RNAcentral. Lineage: Bacteria; Pseudomonadati; Pseudomonadota; Gammaproteobacteria; Oceanospirillales; Halomonadaceae.